Phascolarctos cinereus (koala) is the source of this 246-nucleotide non-coding RNA. Lineage: Eukaryota; Metazoa; Chordata; Mammalia; Diprotodontia; Phascolarctidae. The record is from RefSeq and is a predicted model, not a curated record.
AUCCUUCAAUGCCAACUGCUCUUGCAGCUGGGCGAUCUCAGCCUGGAAGAGCCAAGGGCAUCAUUCAGAUGAGUCUACAGGAUCCCAAGGGAAAUUAACACCAUCUAGCUUCUCAGAAGUGAUUCCACAAAAGCCCCCAGUGCUGAGGACUUGGGAGAGGGAAGAGUUCUAAACCAUCAGAGCUAUCAGGAGCAACAGAAAAAAAUAAGAUCCAGCACUCUACGCUGGAUGAAGCUGCCCCUUCUA